This 429-nucleotide ribosomal RNA is filed under the name Bacteroidota bacterium. RNAcentral's name for it is "Bacteroidetes bacterium partial 16S ribosomal RNA". It matches the Rfam family "Bacterial small subunit ribosomal RNA", at positions 355 to 776 of the family's 1533-position model. Lineage: Bacteria; Pseudomonadati; Bacteroidota. The record is from RNAcentral.
UAGGGAAUCUUCCGCAAUGGACGCAAGUCUGACGGAGCAACGCCGCGUGAGUGAAGAAGGAUUUCGGUUCGUAAAACUCUGUUGUUAGAGAAGAACAGCGCAUAGAGUAACUGUUAUGCGUGUGACGGUAUCUAACCAGAAAGCCACGGCUAACUACGUGCCAGCAGCCGCGGUAAUACGUAGGUGGCAAGCGUUGUCCGGAUUUAUUGGGCGUAAAGCGAGCGCAGGCGGUCAAUUAAGUCUGAUGUGAAAGCCCCCGGCUCAACCGGGGAGGGUCAUUGGCAACUGGUUGACUUGAGUGCCGAAGAGGAGAGUGGAAUUCCAUGUGUAGCGGUGAAAUGCGUAGAUAUAUGGAGGAACACCAGUGGCGAAGGCGACUCUCUGGUCUGUAACUGACGCUGAGGCUCGAAAGCGUGGGUAGCAAACAGG